This 254-nucleotide ribosomal RNA is filed under the name uncultured bacterium. Its description in RNAcentral is "partial 16S ribosomal RNA". It matches the Rfam family "Bacterial small subunit ribosomal RNA", at positions 524 to 776 of the family's 1533-position model. The record is from RNAcentral.
UACGGGGGGGGGCACGCGUUGUUCGGACUUACUGGGCGUAACGGGCUCGUAGGCGGCCAACUAAGUCGGACGUGAAAUCCCCAGGCUCAACCUGGGAACUGCGUCCGAUACUGGAUGGCUUGAAUCCGGGAGAGGGAUGCAGAAUUCCAGGUGUAGCGGUGAAAUGCGUAGAUAUCUGGAGGAAUACCGGUGGCGAAGGCGGCAUCCUGGACCGGCAUUGACGCUGAGGAGCGAAAGCCAGGGGAGCAAACGGG